AGAGUUUGAUCCUGGCUCAGGAUGAACGCUAGCGGCAGGCCUAAUACAUGCAAGUCGAACGGGUUUGACCAGCAAUGGUCAGACUAGUGGCGCACGGGUGCGUAACACGUAGGUAACCUACCUUUUACUGGGGGAUAACACUGGGAAACCAGUGCUAAUACCGCAUAAGAUCAUGACCUGGCAUCGGGUAGUGAUUAAAGAUUUAUUGGUAAAAGAUGGGCCUGCGGCUGAUUAGCUAGUUGGCGGUGUAACAGACCACCAAGGCAAUGAUCAGUAGGGGUUCUGAGAGGAAGAUCCCCCACACUGGCACUGAGAUACGGGCCAGACUCCUACGGGAGGCAGCAGUAGGGAAUAUUGGGCAAUGGCGGAAACGCUGACCCAGCCAUGCCGCGUGCAGGAAGAAGGCGCUCAGCGUUGUAAACUGCUUUUGCCCGGGAAGAAAGGCUAGUACGCGUACUAGAGUCGACGGUACCGGGUGAAUAAGCACCGGCUAACUCCGUGCCAGCAGCCGCGGUAAUACGGAGGGUGCAAGCGUUGUCCGGAUUUAUUGGGUUUAAAGGGUGCGUAGGUGGCCUGUUAAGUCCGGGGUGAAAGCCCACAGCUCAACUGUGGAACUGCCCUGGAUACUGGCGGGCUUGAGUCCAGACGAGGUUGGCGGAAUGGAAGCUGUAGCGGUGAAAUGCAUAGAUAGCUUCCAGAACCCCGAUUGCGUAGGCAGCUGACUAGGCUGGUACUGACACUGAGGCACGAAAGCGUGGGGAGCGAACCGGAUUAGAUACCCCGGUAGUCC
RNAcentral lists this ribosomal RNA (790 nucleotides) under uncultured Sphingobacteriales bacterium. RNAcentral's name for it is "bacterial SSU rRNA". It matches the Rfam family "Bacterial small subunit ribosomal RNA", at positions 8 to 796 of the family's 1533-position model. The record is from RNAcentral. Lineage: Bacteria; Pseudomonadati; Bacteroidota; Sphingobacteriia; Sphingobacteriales.